Molecule: ribosomal RNA, 452 nt
Filed under: uncultured organism
Description: partial 16S ribosomal RNA
Rfam family: Bacterial small subunit ribosomal RNA
Source: RNAcentral
UACACUCCUGCGGGAGGCAGCAGUGGGGAAUAUUGGACAAUGGGCGCAAGCCUGAUCCAGCCAUGCCGCGUGAGUGAUGAAGGCCCUAGGGUUGUAAAGCUCUUUCACCGGUGAAGAUAAUGACGGUAACCGGAGAAGAAGCCCCGGCUAACUUCGUGCCAGCAGCCGCGGUAAUACGAAGGGGGCUAGCGUUGUUCGGAUUUACUGGGCGUAAAGCGCACGUAGGCGGACUAUUAAGUCAGGGGUGAAAUCCCGGGGCUCAACCCCGGAACUGCCUUUGAUACUGGUAGUCUUGAGUUCGAGAGAGGUGAGUGGAAUUCCGAGUGUAGAGGUGAAAUUCGUAGAUAUUCGGAGGAACACCAGUGGCGAAGGCGGCUCACUGGCUCGAUACUGACGCUGAGGUGCGAAAGCGUGGGGAGCAAACAGGAUUAGAUACCCGGGUAGUCCCAUGA